GAUCAACCAAUUGACGUUAGAUUCUACGAAUAACUACUAAAUCGGAAUACCUAAUUUUUAGGAAUCCAUAUUUACGGCGACGUAGGAUC
RNAcentral lists this small RNA (89 nucleotides) under Lactobacillus iners DSM 13335. RNAcentral describes it as "Lacto-usp RNA". It matches the Rfam family "Lacto-usp RNA". Lineage: Bacteria; Bacillati; Bacillota; Bacilli; Lactobacillales; Lactobacillaceae. The record is from Rfam by way of RNAcentral.